RNAcentral lists this ribosomal RNA (253 nucleotides) under uncultured bacterium. RNAcentral's name for it is "partial 16S ribosomal RNA". It matches the Rfam family "Bacterial small subunit ribosomal RNA", at positions 524 to 776 of the family's 1533-position model. The record is from RNAcentral.
UACGUAGGUGGCGAGCGUUGUCCGGAAUCACUGGGCGUAAAGGGCGCGUAGGCUGUUUAUCAAGUCGCAUGUGAAGGACCAGGGCUCAACCCUGGGGUGUCAUGCGAAACUGGUAGACUUGAGUGCAGUAGAGGGAAGCGGAAUUCCUGGUGUAGCGGUAAAAUGCGUAGAGAUCAGGAGGAACACCGGUGGCGAAGGCGGCUUUCUGGGCUGCAACUGACGCUGAGGCGCGAAAGCGUGGGGAGCAAACAGG